UGCCUCAGUAACGGCGAGUGAAGCGGCAACAGCUCAAAUUUGAAAUCUGGCUCUUUCAGGGUCCGAGUUGUAAUUUGUAGAAGAUGCUUUGGGUGUGGCUCCGGUCUAAGUUCCUUGGAACAGGACGUCAUAGAGGGUGAGAAUCCCGUAUGUGACUGGCCGCCUUCGCCCGUGUAAAGCUCUUUCGACGAGUCGAGUUGUUUGGGAAUGCAGCUCAAAAUGGGUGGUAAAUUUCAUCUAAAGCUAAAUAUUGGCCAGAGACCGAUAGCGCACAAGUAGAGUGAUCGAAAGAUGAAAAGCACUUUGGAAAGAGAGUUAAACAGUACGUGAAAUUGUUGAAAGGGAAGCGCUUGCAACCAGACUUGCGCGCAGUUAAUCAUCUGGUGUUCUCACUGGUGCACUUUUCUGCGUUCAGGCCAGCAUCGGUUCAGGUGGUGGGAUAAAGGCCUUGGGAAUGUAGCUUCUUUCGGGGAGUGUUAUAGCCCUCGGUGCAAUGCCGCCUAUCUGGACCGAGGACCGCGCUUCGGCUAGGAUGCUGGCGUAAUGGUUGUAAGCGACCCGUCUUGAAACACGGACCAAGGAGUCUAACAUCUAUGCGAGUGUUUGGGUGUCAAACCCAUACGCGUAAUGAAAGUGAACGGAGGUGAGAACCCUUAAUGGUGCAUCAUCGACCGAUCCUGAUGUCUUCGGAUGGAUUUGAGUAAGAGCAUAGCUGUUGGGACCCGAAAG
RNAcentral lists this ribosomal RNA (729 nucleotides) under Hyaloscyphaceae sp. Its description in RNAcentral is "partial large subunit ribosomal RNA". It matches the Rfam family "Eukaryotic large subunit ribosomal RNA", at positions 76 to 822 of the family's 3401-position model. The record is from RNAcentral. Lineage: Eukaryota; Fungi; Ascomycota; Leotiomycetes; Helotiales; Hyaloscyphaceae.